AAUUAAUUAAGAUUAAUUCUGUCUUGUUUAGGUUUAAUUGGCUAUAAAUUAGGUAAUAUUAAAUAUUAGUUUUUGCGUGUUUUAUAAUUUGUCUAAAAGAUAAUUAGUUUAUUAAUUGUAGUUUUUAAUUUUGAGGGUUACAUAAAUGUAGAUUCAGUUAAUUAAAUUUAGAAUUGUAUAAGGGUGUGCCAGCAUACGCGGUUAUACAUCCGAUUCAAGUCAAUUUUUUUGGUUUAUAUUAAUUUUGUAUUAUUUGAGAAUUAAUUUUUUAUUAUUAGGUGAAAUUUUUAAUUUAAUUUAUGUUUCUUGGGUUAUAAGAUUAUUUGAAGUUUAGGGUUUAAACUAGGAUUAGAUACCCUAUUAUUCUAAAUGUAAAAUUUAACCAUGGUAUUAAUAGUUAUGAUCUUUAAAUUAAAAGGAUUUGGCGGUAAUUUAGUCUUUUCAGAGGAACCUGUUCUGUAAUCGAUAAUCCACGUUGGAUAUUACUCUUAUUAAUUGUUUGUAUAUCUCUGUCAUUGAAUGUUUUUUUAGAUUAUUUUCUUAAAUUAUUUAUUUAAAUGAUGUCAGGUCAAGGUGCAGCUAUAUCAGAGGUUGAAAUGGGUUACAUUUAAUGUUAUUUAUUGGAAUAUUAUCAUUGGAAUUAAUGUAAUAUGAAAGAGGAUUUGAAAGUAAUUUUUAUUAUUUUAUAUAAAUGAUUUUAGCUCUAAAUUAUGUACACAUCGCCCGUCACUCUCGUUAAUAAGACAAGAUAAGUCGUAACAAAGUAAUUCUACCGGAAGGUGGAGUUUGAUAUAUA
This 796-nucleotide non-coding RNA is filed under the name Notopteryx soror. The record is from RNAcentral. Lineage: Eukaryota; Metazoa; Arthropoda; Insecta; Hemiptera; Coreidae.